CCUCACUUUCUAAUGAAUCAUUGUUUUCGCAGCCUUUUAAAGAAGAAGAGCAGCCCUCUUAAUGGCCUGAACAGAUAUCUGGCAAGAAUAACUGAAGUGGGAAUUGCAGGAAUUCUGAAACGCCCUGAGGUGUGUCAGCAGCAGCUGCAAGCAAGGGUGCUGAGGCUCAAUAGAAACUAUGCUGGUUAUACUCUGUCACAUGAUUUUCCAGAUGCUUUGGCAUUCUUCUUUGGAACAAAUGUUUUGGACACCCGCCUGUGGAAAGCCACACUGUUGAAAGAAAUUCUAUUGAAAAUACUUCUUAUUAAAUAAUUCAGAUGGAUUCGUUUCUGACAGAAAAUAGAACAGCGGAUGAAGAGAAGGGAUUUAUACAUAAUUGUCAUGAAGGAGAAAGAUGGAAGUAAGGAAGCCAAACAGUUAAGGUAUCUUUAGUGACAUCACAGGAGAUGGAUAUAAAACAUGUAU
This 465-nucleotide long non-coding RNA is filed under the name Struthio camelus australis. RNAcentral describes it as "lncRNA (ENSSCUG00000018212.1)". Lineage: Eukaryota; Metazoa; Chordata; Aves; Struthioniformes; Struthionidae. The record is from RNAcentral.